Non-coding RNA from Schizosaccharomyces pombe (fission yeast), 937 nucleotides. NCBI's taxonomy places the organism in Eukaryota, Fungi, Ascomycota, Schizosaccharomycetes, Schizosaccharomycetales, Schizosaccharomycetaceae. The record is from the annotation of a GenBank genome assembly.
CGUAAGCGUUUUACAUACUGGUAAACGAUACUUAAGUUCCUAAAUUUUCUUUUCCUUCUAUGUUGCAAAAAACAUAUGUAAAAGGGAGACUUAUUAUUUAAAACUUAUUUUUCGGUUUCUAAAUACUUCUAUUAUCCCGAUUAUGUGUCGAUUUGGUUCGCCGCAACCAAGACAAACCCAACGUCGAUAAUUAAUUUUAUUCCAUAAAAAAAAAUCUCAAUAAUCAAUGUACGGCAUCACUAAUUGCAUAUACUCCAUUGAUAACUUGAUUUCAUUACCUAAUAUACAGUGACACAUUAAAAAACGCAUCCUUUACCAGUCUUUCCGCUUUUGAGGAGGAUGCGGAGGUUCAGAGUGUUUAGGACUAGAACAUGUUAGUAAUAGAAAGAGAAAGUCAACACUAUAAUUCUUCAAAAAACUUACUGAGCAUCUGGGCAAUUAGGGCCUAGCGGACAAAACCCAGCUAAAUAUUUUGGGCAAGGCCUUGGUUUUCGUACAUGUUUGCCUCGACAUAUAGGUCCUAAAGGACAAAAUCCCAUAUUAUACCAGGCACAGACACCAACUUGUUUACUGGGAUCCAAAUGGAGAUAUAAACACUCUUCGCCAUUAGAACACCAGCCGCGCUCUGCAUAAAAGUGACAUGGAGGCAUCUUUUUUAAAUUGUACUCGUGUAAAAAAUCACACUGUUCACCUUUUUUACAAAGUCCACGAAGCCUUAUAUAAUAUUAGUUAUCAUGAAGGUAGAAACAAAAACAAAUAGAAAAAUACAUGAAAUAUAUAUUCAUAUUACUCUUCUUUAUAUAUACAUACCAAUGCUUGCAAACCACGCUACCCAUUUUCGAUCCAGAAUCGCGUCCAUUUCCAGAGUUUAGCAAGGCAGACCUUCCGAAAUUAAAAUUUUGCUUUAAAUAGUUAUCAAAACGAAAUUGAACUGAAG